AUGGGACGCACCGCCUUGGUCAAGUCGGUGCUUGCCUCCCAAGCCAUAUACUUCAUCACUAUGCUCGUCGUCCCCACAAGCACCCUCAAAAAUCUCAACAAGCUUGAGCGAGCGUUCCUUUGGGAGGGAACAGACAAGACCACCAGGGCCAAUUGCAAGGUUAAUUGGGACACCGUUUGCCGCCCAAUUGCUAAUGGGGGUCUUCGAGUGCUAAACACGGAGAAAUUUGCUAGGGCACUGAGGAUUCGUUGGAUUUGGUUUGAGUGGAAGGAGCCAACUAAGAUGUGGGUUGGCAUG
This 297-nucleotide ribosomal RNA is filed under the name Triticum aestivum (bread wheat). RNAcentral describes it as "partial small subunit ribosomal RNA". The record is from RNAcentral. Lineage: Eukaryota; Viridiplantae; Streptophyta; Magnoliopsida; Poales; Poaceae.